UGGAUUUUCUUGGAACGGUCAAUGAAGAAAAGAUACCACCUGACCAUACAUGAAGACCACUCUGUGGGGUUUGGUCUGCCAAGAACAAUGUUGUCCAGACCUUCAGCAGCUUGCUAGAAACCAGGAUUCACAUUGCAGUCUGAUAUUUCCUCCAAUUCUAAAAGAGGAGGUGCAACUCAGCCUACAAGUGGAGCCAACAGAGUGCUGUCCAGGAGCGAGAGAAGAGGCAGAGAGAGACUGUUAGAAGUGCCUUUUGAUGGACCCACAUAGUCAACACCUGGUCAGGCAAAACAAGGUAUACCCAGCAUGGCAGGGCAUCAAGCAUCAG
Long non-coding RNA from Mirounga angustirostris (Northern elephant seal), 328 nucleotides. RefSeq lists it as uncharacterized. The transcript is spliced from 3 exons. Lineage: Eukaryota; Metazoa; Chordata; Mammalia; Carnivora; Phocidae. The record is from RefSeq and is a predicted model, not a curated record.